GAUGAACGCUGGCGGCGUGCUUAACACAUGCAAGUCGAACGAUGAAGCCCAGCUUGCUGGGUGGAUUAGUGGCGAACGGGUGAGUAACACGUGAGUAACCUGCCCUUAACUCUGGGAUAAGCCUGGGAAACUGGGUCUAAUACCGGAUAGGAGCGUCCACCGCAUGGUGGGUGUUGGAAAGAUUUAUCGGUUUUGGAUGGACUCGCGGCCUAUCAGCUUGUUGGUGAGGUAAUGGCUCACCAAGGCGACGACGGGUAGCCGGCCUGAGAGGGUGACCGGCCACACUGGGACUGAGACACGGCCCAGGCUCCUACGGGAGGCAGCAGUGGGGAAUAUUGCACAAUGGGCGCAAGCCUGAUGCAGCGACGCCGCGUGAGGGAUGACGGCCUUCGGGUUGUAAACCUCUUUCAGUAGGGAAGAAGCGAAAGUGACGGUACCUGCAGAAGAAGCACCGGCUAACUACGUG
This 466-nucleotide ribosomal RNA is filed under the name uncultured bacterium. RNAcentral describes it as "partial 16S ribosomal RNA". It matches the Rfam family "Bacterial small subunit ribosomal RNA", at positions 28 to 507 of the family's 1533-position model. The record is from RNAcentral.